CCCUUAGAUGUUCUGGGCCGCACGCGCGCUACACUGACGAAUGCAACGAGCUUAUAACCUUGGCCGAAAGGUCUGGGUAAUCUCCAAAUUUCGUCGUGAUGGGGAUAGAUUAUUGCAAUUAUUAAUCUUCAACGAGGAAUGCCUAGUAAGCGCAAGUCAUCAGCUUGCGUUGAUUACGUCCCUGCCCUUUGUACACACCGCCCGUCGCUCCUACCGAUUGAAUGGUCCGGUGAAGCGCUCGGACCGCGGCCUCUUGACGGUUUUCCGUCGAUUGGCUGUGGGAAGUUCGUUAAACCUUAUCAUUUAGAGGAAGGAAAANUCGUAACA
Molecule: ribosomal RNA, 327 nt
Filed under: uncultured eukaryote
Lineage: Eukaryota
Description: partial 18S ribosomal RNA
Rfam family: Eukaryotic small subunit ribosomal RNA
Source: RNAcentral